AGUGAACGCUGGCGGCGUGCUUAACACAUGCAAGUCGAACGAGAACGGGAUAUAGCUUGCUAUAUUUGUCAGCUAAGUGGCGCACGGGUCAGCAAUGUAUAGAUAACCUGCCCUCUAAGAAAGGAAUAACAGUUGGAAGCGACUGCUAAUGCCCUAUAUGCCUUUAAUACAUAAUUAUGCAAGGGAAACGCUUUAGUGCUUAAGGAUGGGUCUGUAUGGUAUCAGCUUGUUGGUGAGGUAAUGGCUCACCAAGGCUAUGACGCCUAACUGGUUUGAGAGGAUGAUCAGUCACACUGGAACUGAGACACGGUCCAGACUCCUACGGGAGGCAGCAGUGGGGAAUAUUGCACAAUGGACGAAAGUCUGAUGCAGCAACGCCGCGUGGAGGAUGACACAUUUCGGUGCGUAAACUCCUUUUAUAUAGGAAGAUAAUGACGGUACUAUAUGAAUAAGCACCGGCUAACUCCGUGCCAGCCGCCGCCGUAA
RNAcentral lists this ribosomal RNA (486 nucleotides) under uncultured bacterium. RNAcentral's name for it is "partial 16S ribosomal RNA". It matches the Rfam family "Bacterial small subunit ribosomal RNA", at positions 29 to 523 of the family's 1533-position model. The record is from RNAcentral.